GACGAACGCUGGCGGCGUGCUUAACACAUGCAAGUCGAACGGCAAGGCCCUGCUUUUUUGGGGUUCUCGAGUGGCGAACGGGUGAGUAACACGUGAGUAACCUGCCCUUCACUUUGGUAUAACUUCAGGUAACUGGGGCUAAUACCGUAUAGGAGCUCCUGCUCCGUGGUGGGGGUUGGAAAGUUUCGGCGGUUGGGGCUGGAUUCGCGGCUUAUCGGCUUGUUGGUUGGGUAGUGGCUUACCAAGGCUUUGACGGGUAGCCGGCCUGGGAGGGUGACCGGCCACAAUGGGACUGAGAGAGGGAGCAGACGGGUACGGGAGACAAUAGUGGGAAGUAUGACCCAACGGGCGGGAGUCUGAGGCAAAGGCGUUGCGGGCGGGAUGACGGCCUGCGGGGUGUGAACAGCUGUAGCCUGAGACGAAGCGUGAGUGACGGUAAUGGGUAAAGAAGCACCGGCUAACUACGUG
Molecule: ribosomal RNA, 468 nt
Filed under: uncultured bacterium
Lineage: Bacteria
Description: partial 16S ribosomal RNA
Rfam family: Bacterial small subunit ribosomal RNA
Source: RNAcentral